Molecule: ribosomal RNA, 451 nt
Filed under: uncultured bacterium
Lineage: Bacteria
Description: partial 16S ribosomal RNA
Rfam family: Bacterial small subunit ribosomal RNA
Source: RNAcentral
AGCGAACGCUGGCGGCAGGCCUAACACAUGCAAGUCGAGCGGACGUCGCAAGACGUCAGCGGCAGACGGGAGAGUAACACGUGGGAACGUACCCUUCGGUUCGGAAUAACCCAGGGAAACUUGGGCUAAUACCGGAUACGUCCGUAAGGAGAAAGAUUUAUCGCCGAAGGAUCGGCCCGCGUCCGAUUAGCUAGUUGGUGGGGUAAUGGCCCACCAAGGCGACGAUCGGUAGCUGGUCUGAGAGGAUGAUCAGCCUCACUGGGACUGAGACACGGCCCAGACUCCUACGGGAGGCAGCAGUGGGGAAUAUUGGACAAUGGGCGCAAGCCUGAUCCAGCCAUGCCGCGUGGGUGAUGAAGGCCCUAGGGUUGUAAAGCCCUUUCGGCGGGGAAGAUAAUGAUGGUACCCGCAGAAGAAGCCCCGGCUAACUUCGUGCCAGCAGCCGCCGUAA